RNAcentral lists this ribosomal RNA (441 nucleotides) under uncultured bacterium. Its description in RNAcentral is "partial 16S ribosomal RNA". It matches the Rfam family "Bacterial small subunit ribosomal RNA", at positions 338 to 795 of the family's 1533-position model. The record is from RNAcentral.
CCUACGGGUGGCAGCAGUGGGGAAUAUUGCACAAUGGGGGAAACCCUGAUGCAGCGACGCCGCGUGAGCGAUGCAGUAUUUCGGUAUGUAAAGCUCUAUCAGCAGGGAAGAAAAUGACGGUACCUGACUAAGAAGACCCGGCUAACUACGUGCCAGCAGCAGCGGUAAUACGUAGGGGGCAAGCGUUAUCCGGAUUUACUGGGUGUAAAGGGAGCGUAGACGGCUUGGCAAGCCAGAUGUGAAAGGCUGCGGCUCAACCCCAGGACUGCAUUUGGAACUGUCAUGCUAGAGUGUCGGAGAGGCAGUCGGAAUUCCUAGGGUAGCGGUGAAAUGCGUAGAGAUUAGGAGGGACACCAGGGGCGAAGGCGGCGUGCUUGACGAUGACUGACGUUGAGGCUCGAAAGCGUGGGGAGCAAACAGGAUUAGAUACCCCUGGUAGUC